RNAcentral lists this ribosomal RNA (706 nucleotides) under Eisenia fetida (common brandling worm). RNAcentral describes it as "eukaryotic LSU rRNA". It matches the Rfam family "Eukaryotic large subunit ribosomal RNA", at positions 76 to 634 of the family's 3401-position model. Lineage: Eukaryota; Metazoa; Annelida; Clitellata; Crassiclitellata; Lumbricidae. The record is from RNAcentral.
UUCCUCAGUAACGGCGAGUGAAGCGGGAAUAGCCCAGCACCGAAUCGGCUGCCGUUCGGCGAUCGAACUGUGGUGUAGGGACGGUCAAGUUCGUCGAUCGGACGCCCAAGUCGCUUGAACGCGGCCACGCCCAGAGAGGGUGCCAGGCCCGUAAUGCGUCCGGCGGCGACCGCGACCCUUUAGAGUCGUUGUGUUUGAUAGUGCACCCCAAAUGUGGUGGUAAACUCCAUCUAAGGCUAAAUACUGGCACGAGUCCUAUAGAGAACAGUACCGUGGGGGAAAGUUGAAAAAAAUUUUGAAGAGAGAGUUCAACUGUAUGUGAAACCGUCCAGAGGCAAACGGAGAAGACCGCAUUGUCGCGCGUCAGAUUCAUCCGUCUGCCGGCUGGAUCCUCUCGGCUUACCCCUCCGAGAUGGUCGGAACGUGCCGUCGCGCGGCGGCUGCCCUUCUUUCGACGUGCGCACCGCCACUAGGUUUUGCGGCGACACCAGCCCCGACAAGGUGAACGAUUUUUCGUCGUCGGAGCAUACAGGCGCGGCACCGCCUUUCGUCGGCGUGACCGAAGACCCUGUUACGGUUUCGUCUACAUGGUAGCAGUGUCUACCACAAGUUGCGGAGGACAGAAAAACAGUGCCCGAAACGCGGGGUCAUCCGUCGAAGGCCCGUCGAUUGUAGUAAUCGUUGGUAUAAUUGUCCGCCCCCUUAA